This 253-nucleotide ribosomal RNA is filed under the name uncultured bacterium. RNAcentral's name for it is "partial 16S ribosomal RNA". It matches the Rfam family "Bacterial small subunit ribosomal RNA", at positions 524 to 776 of the family's 1533-position model. The record is from RNAcentral.
UACGUAGGGUGCAAGCGUUAAUCGGAAUUACUGGGCGUAAAGCGUGCGCAGGCGGUUUGCUAAGACCGAUGUGAAAUCCCCGGGCUUAACCUGGGAACUGCAUUGGUGACUGGCAAGCUAGAGUGUGGCAGAGGGGGGUAGAAUUCCACGUGUAGCAGUGAAAUGCGUAGAGAUGUGGAGGAACACCGAUGGCGAAGGCAGCCCCCUGGGUUAACACUGACGCUCAGGCACGAAAGCGUGGGGAGCAAACAGG